RNAcentral lists this ribosomal RNA (273 nucleotides) under uncultured bacterium. Its description in RNAcentral is "partial 16S ribosomal RNA". It matches the Rfam family "Bacterial small subunit ribosomal RNA", at positions 524 to 796 of the family's 1533-position model. The record is from RNAcentral.
UACGGAGGGUGCAAGCGUUGUCCGGAUUUAUUGGGUUUAAAGGGUGCGUAGGCGGCCCAUUAAGUCAGCGGUGAAAGCCCGGGGCUCAACCCCGGAACCGCCGUUGAUACUGGUGGGCUUGAGUAUGGACGAGGUUGGCGGAAUUGAGGGUGUAGCGGUGAAAUGCUUAGAUACCCUCAAGAACACCGAUUGCGUAGGCAGCUAACUAGGCCAUAACUGACGCUGAGGCACGAAAGCGUGGGGAGCGAACAGGAUUAGAAACCCCGGUAGUCC